Molecule: non-coding RNA, 285 nt
Organism: Chelonoidis abingdonii (Abingdon island giant tortoise)
Lineage: Eukaryota; Metazoa; Chordata; Testudines; Testudinidae
Source: RefSeq, a predicted model, not a curated record
CUUAAAUCUCUCUUUCUUUGGUCAUAGAUAUUUGAAACAGAGUUUUGGGGAACACCACCACAGAGGGUUGAUGAUCCCACCAAAUGGCCUCAAGAGUUUAUAGAUUCCUAGAACCCACAUUAAAGCAGAUAAAGAUGCUAAUAAGCAGCUCAGAGACUACAAGAUCUGCCUCUGCCGGAAGGCUCUUUCAGUGGAAGGAGUUCAUUCAUGAGGGUAGUGAUUGUCUGGAACCCCCUCUCAUCUCAUCAUCAGAAGCAAGCUCCCUACAGACCAGGACCCACCAAC